This 67-nucleotide microRNA precursor is filed under the name Bombyx mori (domestic silkworm). RNAcentral's name for it is "mir-2774 microRNA precursor family". It matches the Rfam family "mir-2774 microRNA precursor family". Lineage: Eukaryota; Metazoa; Arthropoda; Insecta; Lepidoptera; Bombycidae. The record is from Rfam by way of RNAcentral.
UCCAAACUGGGACCGUCGGUCUACCGAGCAAUGUCACCCGCUCGGUGGAAGAUCUUCCCUUUGUCGU